Lytechinus pictus (painted urchin) is the source of this 5558-nucleotide long non-coding RNA. RefSeq lists it as uncharacterized. Lineage: Eukaryota; Metazoa; Echinodermata; Echinoidea; Temnopleuroida; Toxopneustidae. The transcript has 2 exons. The record is from RefSeq and is a predicted model, not a curated record.
AUAAUUAAGUAGGAUCCUGGUAAUAAAUGGAUUUCAUUGGUGGCUGAAAUGUUGGCAUUGUUCAAAUAUGAACUUGUAACAUUUUACCAUAAAGGGCGAGCAUGGCAAAUUGUGUGGUACUGUCUAGCUCUGCUGAAAAGCAGGAUGAGCUGGCUUUUUCCGAUGCUUACUAGGCAAUUUUGGAGCGAAGAGUUUCAGUCUGAAACUAAACCAGAUUAAGAACUAGUAAAUCCUAGACAAACUUCAUGAGCUGCUAUGUGAUACCGUAAAAGUGGAAAUUUUUGUGGAUUUCGCGGCAAGAUCGUCAAGCGCCGAUUUAAAAACACGCGAAUUUAUGAGCAUCUAUUUUAAUGCAAGUUUUGAAUUGCGGUUCAAUUGCCUGGCAAAGAGACUGCAUAAUUUGACCUAUAGAGGGUGACAUUCAAGCAAGCAAGCUUGAGCUCCAAAAUCAUAUGCAUCGCGAGAAUUUGUUCCACAGCAAUGCUAUCAUUUUUUUAACAGUCAUUGGUAUUUAAAUUAUGAUUUUGGUUGAAAUAUAAAUUGCUUUUGCUGUUUGAUUGGUGAGUGUUUAGUUUUUAAGAAGACGUUGGGUUGAUCCCCCAGGUAUGUUGAUUGAUCCCAUGCACUUUGAAUAGCCGUAAUCCCCCGGUCCUUACCCGGUGCUGGGCCGUCCAUACCAGGCCAGCAGCACCUCCGUUUUGACCCUUUUCCCUUCCUUGAUGUCCGCUCCGCAAAGAAAAGUUGCGCAAAAUGUCACAAAAGCUCAUGAUUGGAUCAAAACAAUGCUGAAUUAUGCCGCUUUAGAGCUAGAAUUAUGAUCAGAAAAUACAAUUUCAUCGCUGAAACGUUAAUUAAAACCAUUCACAGAUGGGGAAGAAGGAAGUGACAUUGUGAUUAUGGAGUGUGCAGCGCGAAUUCAAGAACCCGCGAAUAUGUUUUGAAGCCGCCAAGCGCGAAAAAUUAAUCCCGUGAAAAAUAACAGCGUUUACAGUAGUCUAAGGUUAUGGCAUGCUUAGUGUGAAUAUUCUUGAAUUUCUUCACCCCAGCUUUGGAUAAACAUGUAGUGUAGGUUUAAGAAAGACGGUCUGAAACCAAAAUAAGUUACUGGCUUUUUAGAUAUUCCUGGGUUAAAAAAACUGAGGUCUCCAAAGCAUAUUUAUGAUUGUAGGCAAAAAGGAACAUUUUCAUGGUUAUUAAAUCUCUAUCCUCAAAAGAAUCUGUUAUACUUAAAUAAAUAUGAAAAUACACAUACGGUACACCUGUUAUAGCCAAUGUCAGUUUGUAUAAUAGUUGGUCAGUGUUGACAAUUGCAAACCAAAGAUAUAUUUAUUUUCUGCUGUGCUAGUCUUUCACACCUGCAAAACAGACGUGUCUUUCUGUCAUCUUUUGAUAUACGUUUCAGGCCCCUGAUGAAGUGAUAUGUACUAUUUAGAGUGUAUAUAAAAGCUGUACUAAUACAAAUGUUUUGUGAUCUCUUUAGAAUUACUGUGUAAAAUGAGAGUCGAGCGUAACAAAGCAUUGGACAAACAGGAACGUCUUGAGAUAGACCUCAUGGCCAUUUAGGCUAGAUCUCCUCUUCCUCCUCUAAUCCUGAUGGAGAUGGCUGACUUAGGUACUGAGAAAGAGAAAUUGCACACUGUUCAACUAGAAUUAGACGGAUGCUUAAAGGAGCUUGAAGCUUUGUAGAAGACCUCGUUAUUUUCAUCUUGUGUUUUGUUGAAGAAAAAUGCAAACUGUUUUUUAUGAGUCCUCUAUCAUUAACUAUUGGUUGAUUGGAUGUACAUGUGUACUUAGUACUUCGCUGGAGAUUACGAUUGGGAAUCUAUCUUCAUUUCUCAUUGUUGCACUCUAGUCUUCUCACAUAUAAAGCAUCUAGCAUAUCACUGUUUUUGAAGUGUUUGAUUUUAUUGAAGAUUAAAAUAAUGCAAAUUAAUUCAUUGUAUCAAUGGGAGCAAGCAUUGGCAAAACAUUGGACCAAUUGAAUAUAACAUUCCAAUUUUUUUUGGUACUUCGAAAAUUCCAUGCUUGAUUAAGAAAAAAAAAUGUCUAGUGAUUUUUUUUCUAGUUUAUCUGUUCACUUUUCAAGACUUGAUAUGAUACCUAUAAUUUCAUAUUCCAAACCAAUGUUAAGGCUUCUUGCAGUUGUGAUUGUAUCUACUAUGUGACACUGAUUGUGGAAUAUAUGGUUUGAAGUCUUGUCAAGAAAAUACAUAUUUAAUGUUAAUGAUCUUGCUGCGAAUUUGACAGGUUUUAGGUAAAAAAAAAAAAAAAACCCAACAAAUUAGCGAUUGAAUCUGUUAAGCACGAUGUAUCCCUAAUCAUGUAUUACAGUGUAAUGGAGAUGUGUGUUGCUAUCUAUCUUAACAUUGCAUGUAAUAAUUUAUUGUGAUACAUAGUGAAAUAUACAUUGCUAUUCUUUCCUCUCAAGUCAAAAUUAAUGAAAAACUGUGUGAACCUGUACAUAUGCUCUUUUGGUAAGUAUACUGUAGACAUGAGUAGGCAAGUCUGUAGGUAUCUGGUUUUUACUGUGCAUUCACUAGCAGAGUAACAUACAGUGCUGUAUGUACUACUGAGAAUAAUCUUUGUGAUGUCAUGAUAUUAUGGUGCAUUAUGUAAUCAUUCAGGGCGCUGUCAGUCUGUGCCCUGCAUAUAAAAAAUGUAUAAGUAUAAAUACGUGUUUGUAUGUGCUUCUCUUUGCUAUACGAACAUUGAAAAAUUAAAGUAGGGUAUCUAGUUCAUUGAUUUUCAAUUUACCUUUCCUUUUUUUUAUACUAUUUCUGCCUGGGUUUUUGUUCACCAACUAUAAUUUUGCCUAUUUGCUUUCUUUUCUUUCUUUUAUCCUCUUGUUAUUGUUCCUUCCUGAUGUGUUGUCCCAUACUAUGUUACUCCUUGUCUGUUGGUUCCUGUGUAAUGUUUUGGUUACCUGUACAGAGGAAUUGGUUAGUGAGAAGGAAAAGUGCAGACAGAUGAACGAGGAGAUGGAGCGCUGCUUGCAAGAACUCAACAUGGAGGUCUAGACACAGUAGUCCUCUUGCUUGCUUAUACGUAUCCAUAGCAACCUUCCUUUAUUUUCACUUGUAACCAGUUUUGUCCUCAAAGCCAACUCCUGGCUGAGCCCACACACCAUCAAAUCUGGACACUAUUUAUGUUCCUUUAUUUUAUGUUUCUAUGUUUCAAAACUUUGGAAAGAGAGAGAGAGGGAGAGAAAUCUUCUUUCACUUCAAAUGAGAGAAAGCGGAAGAAAUUGUACAAAGUAAUUUUUUUAAGUUGUACGUCUUAGUAUAGGAGGCAAGGAAAGUAUUGUUCUUUUUAAGAUAUUUUAUUGCAAAAGUUAUUUAUAGAAGAAUUUGUAACUUUUUUAUGGCAAGAUUGGUUUGGUAAUGAAUGAUGAAAGGAAUUGGUUGGAUGUUGACUGUUAGGCGCUCUAGACUGUGACAAGGUUGUCAGAUCAGUCGCUUCUACAUCGGACAUGGAUUGAUAUCGUGUGUAUAUUAUUACACCCCCCCCCCCCUUAACCAUAACUUAUGUAUUAUUGUUGCUUCUUUCAUCAGAUUGUUCAAUUAGUAUUUUUUCUAUCAAGAGAAAAUUCAGUUUUGAUUGUUUCCAUGUCAUUUCUCUUGAUAAAAACUUGUCAGAUUGAGCAUGAGAAACUGAAAAUUUGAUUUCUACUUUAUUUGCUUCAAUGUUUUCUGAUCAAUAGCUUUUCUUCCAUGUCACUAGCUAAGCAUGGUUGUAUACUCAUAUCAUCAAAACUCACAGCUUAGUUUUGUACAUGUAUCAAUAGUUAAAAUGACUACACUAUCAUUCUCUGUAGGAUUAACUUAGUCUAUGACAUAUUAAAGCAUUAGUAGAAAAGGGAAGAUAUUUAAUAGCUGAUAUAUGUUUGUCUAGUGUAUAUGAUCUGAUAACAAAAUAUUCUUGACAGUUAUAAAAGAAAUAAAAUCAUGUACAAAGUAAUACUAAUUUAAUAUCUAAUUAUAUAUAUUAUCAUUAUAGCUGCAGAAUACAUUAGAUCAUAUGGAAUUCUUAGACGAAACGAUUGACUUCAAAACUUGAUAUGUUUUAUACACCUAUCAUUCAUGAUUACGCAAGUGUAAUUAUUAGUGCUUUAGUAUUGUCAAAUUAUGCACUAGAAAAUUAAAAUUUUUGAUUUACAGAACUACAGAUGACAAGUCUUUGUAUUGUAAAUGUUUAUAUUUCAUUAUUUGCUUAUCAUCUAGACUGUAAUAUAGUGAAUGAUUUUAAGUGUGAGUAUUGCAUUAUUUUCUUGUUACGGAUGAACGAACUGGUACUGUAUUAUGUAUAUCAUCUACUCCUAUACCCAUUAUACUCGUACAAGUGCUAAUGUACAUUGACUAGCUUUUCUGACAACUAGAAACAAAAACACUACAUGUUACAUUGAUUGGUAAUUGUCCUGAAUAUGUAAUAUUUUGCAUGAUUUUCUUUUGAAACGUUGUCAUUGUCGGGUUAUAAAAUCACCAUUGAAAAUCAUACGCAAACAAACCCAAUUUGAACUAUGUAGAGGGUUGCAUGGUGCAUUAAAACACAGCGCUUCAUACUCACUAAAAGAUUGCCUUUUAUUCCAUUUUAUUUCAUUUUACUCUCACUGACUCUCUGCUGUUUUUUUUUUCUUAAAUCAAAAGCAAUCUGAUAUCUCAUUUCUGAUAACAUUUACUAUCGUCUGAUUGGCGAUUCAGAGUUUGAAGAGAAAUGAUUUGCCUUGGUCUGAUUUUAGCCUCGCUUCAGCCUUUUGUUUUCAUUCUUGUUUUAUUCUCUUUCAAAGUUAAGCUUUGAGGUGUGUCAUGAUUCAGAUGAACUGUCCCAAAUUCUUGUAAAUUAUUUUCUGAAUUUUGAUUAACUUCAAAGAAACUAAAAGAAGAGUUGGAUUAAGGGAGUUGAGAUGGUGGGGAAUGGCUUAGAUUCAAGGAAUUAUGCAAACGGAACCCUCUACAUGUGUGGAAGAUAAUGUAUUUGUUCUUAGAUUGAGAAUACUCCAUUGAGAGUUGGGGAACGGUAGGGUCAUCCCAACUAGAACCAGUGAAGCAGAAUCGCAUAGAAUGAAUAGAAGAAAUUUCUAGCAAUUCUAUCAAUCUAUAGCACCAUUUCAGCUCUUUUAAUCUUCACUUCAUUUCUCUUGGUCCUUUCCAUUUUUUGUAAGCAUGGGAAACCCUAUAUUUUUGCAACUCUCACUGUUUAUACAUAUUAAAGCACAUUAAAAUGUGGCCUGUUCAAAAUCUGAGAGGUUGCCCAUAUCAAAACUAAACAAUGUGAUCACAUAAAAUGAACAAUUUAUUUUUCUUCAACAACUGGAUUGUUUUUUUAAAACAGAAGGUCGCCUACUAGAAAGGAAUGGGGGGGGGGGGGGGGGGCUAGAUGGUGCAUGGGAUAGGGAAGAUCAAUUUUUAAGAGUAAAAAGAUUUUAAAAAAUGGAUGAAAAAUUAAUUGGUGCUUGAGUACUUGACAGAGUCCAAGGAAUAAGAGUGUGUAAUUUUAGAAGCAGUGCAGUAUGCAUUGUACCCCUCAUCAUAGAUGAAUAAAACACAUUUAUCUGACGGCAA